Pipra filicauda (Wire-tailed manakin) is the source of this 872-nucleotide long non-coding RNA. RefSeq lists it as uncharacterized. The record is from RefSeq and is a predicted model, not a curated record. The transcript has 3 exons. Lineage: Eukaryota; Metazoa; Chordata; Aves; Passeriformes; Pipridae.
CACUUCCCUGCAGCUUGUGCAGUCAAUAGCUGGUCCUGGUAGCACUUUUUGCCUGGUGCCUUGGUCCAGGUAGGAGCAUGGGCUUCUUUGAGGACAAUUCCUUGAAUUUAAUACUUAUUCUUCAAUAAGCACUUCAAUAAGCAGAAGCACGGCCUGAUUGAUUCCUUGUGCAUUUCUCCCUGGUGCUCCUGCUGGGAUCCUCAGCCAUCCCCUGUCUCCCUUCCCCUCGCUGGGGACCUCCUGCUCUCCCUCACCUGCCCCCAAGCAGGAACAAAGCAGGAACCACGCACUGCUGAGGCUGCUACAGCUCUGCCACUCUUGAAAACUGGUUAUCGGUCGGAUUUGUUUGGAAGGAGCUGCUUGGUAACAACAUGUGCACUGUGACUGUGCAGGACCCAGGCUCGCUGGGCAAAUCUGCAAGCAGGACAGCAAGGGCUUAGACAGGUAACCUGUCUGUUCCUCUCACUUUGGCUUUAACUGUGGCGAGAAGACCCUGGUGGGUUUGCUCAAGGGGCACUCUGCUCCCCAACACAGAUGAACACGCCAGAGGGGUCACCUGAACUGAGAGUCCGUUUGGGAUUGUUGCUAUUGCCGAAGAGCCCAGUGCUUGUUGUGCGGGAGAUAAGCUUGCCACACCGUGCAAGAGGAAAUUGCGGAGCAAUUUGCUGGAGGGGCACAGAAAAUGAGGAUAGUACAGAUUGUCCAGCAUUUCCUGGGUGUCUGAUAAUUUCUUCACAGCCUUAAAAUCUGUGAGCAGCUGGGCUGGCUCGCUGCAGAUGCCCACUCAUCAGUGCCUGCCCAGUCUCUCUGCCAGAGGAAGCACCAGUGGCCAAAGGCCAAGUGAGGCUGGUGGUUGGAGACCAGAGAACCAA